CAGUAGCCGCGGGAAUACGGAGGAUCCAAGCGUUAUCCGGAAUCAUUGGGUUUAAAGGGUCCGUAGGCGGUCUUGUAAGUCAGUGGUGAAAGCCCAUCGCUCAACGGUGGAACGGCCAUUGAUACUGCAGGACUUAAUUAUUGGGAAGUAACUAGAAUAUGUAGUGUAGCGGUGAAAUGCUUAGAGAUUACAUGGAAUACCAAUUGCGAAGGCAGGUUACUACCAAUUGAUUGACGCUGAUGGACGAAAGCGUGGGUAGCGAACAGGAUUAGAUACCCCAGUAGUCCCUGUCUCUUAUACA
This 301-nucleotide ribosomal RNA is filed under the name uncultured bacterium. RNAcentral describes it as "partial 16S ribosomal RNA". It matches the Rfam family "Bacterial small subunit ribosomal RNA", at positions 509 to 808 of the family's 1533-position model. The record is from RNAcentral.